Harpia harpyja (harpy eagle) is the source of this 18936-nucleotide long non-coding RNA. RefSeq lists it as uncharacterized. The record is from RefSeq and is a predicted model, not a curated record. Lineage: Eukaryota; Metazoa; Chordata; Aves; Accipitriformes; Accipitridae. The transcript is spliced from 11 exons.
GGGAGCCCCUCGUUCCCCGCCCUGAGGUGGGGUGCGGGCCGGGAGGAGGCGCCGCCGCCAGGCCGGCGGAGGUGGCGCCGUGGGCCGGGGCGAAGCGUGCCGUCACCCCGCAGCGACGCCUCAGGGUACAAGAAAAAAGCUCAAAAGUCAAAUUUGAAAAGCAGCAGGGCCAGAUAAAUGGAACCUCCUUUGAAAUAACUUCCAAAACUGAGAUGUUCUGUGGACUCUUCUGGACUGGGCAGUGCUUUCACGGAGACCUGUGACCAUGGAGAGCUCGGCUGGAGGACCCAGGUUGUUUCUUUGGUUGUAUCUGUGUUGCUAAGUUGCAGCUGCCUCCUCACAAAGAUGGUCUUGCAGUAGAUUUUCUGCAUUCUUCUUUUGAGGAGUAGAAGAAGAAAUGCAAGAAGCAGUAUUUGAGCCGGAGAUUAAAUACUUAUUUCCUGAGUGUGAAACCUCUACGUUUGCUUUAUGUGUCAGCACAGAAUUCAGUGGCAAUGCUGAGUUCUCUGGGAUCUCGUUUGGAUUCAUCUGAACAUGAAAAAAAUUGUUGAAAGGCUUGUGCCCGUUGUCUUUUGUCCAUCCGCUGGAUACCACUGAGAAGAGUCUGGCUCCAUCUUUAUAUACAGUGGGAUUGAGUGCACCCUCACCAAGUCUGCAGAUGAUACCAAGCCGAGCAGUGCCGUUGAUGCGCAGGAGGGAAGGGAUGCCGUCCUGAGGGACCUGACGGGCUUGAGCAGUGGGCCCAUGUGAACCUCAUGAAGUUUCAGAAUUCUAAAAUCUUUUGGUUGCAAGGCCAAGUUUAUAGCCUACUGUGUUGUGUCUAGAGAGAAAAAAAAUCUGGAAUGUUGGGGACUAAUUCUCAUUUCAGAUGUGUAUUCUCCAUUGUGGUGAAGAAUUAGUCAAAAAUAAAGGUGGGGUUUUUUUCUUUUUUUUUUUCUCUCUUCUCUUCAUUUUGGAGAUGACAGAAAAUUGGAAGUUGCUGUGGGUUUGAAGUUCUGGUUGAGCCCCAAGUAAUAGUGGUCAGGAGUGAGUAAUGUUAAGACUGCUCUAUCAGGUUUGGGUCACUGAAGAGCCUCGUAUAUAGGGAUUAGUUUCCAGUGAUUGUGUAUGUUAGUUACUCAGCUGUUUUCUUCCACCAGUUAACCAGACGCUAUAUAGCUUUUAAAAAAUCAAUUUGCUCCUUAAAAUAAGACUAUCCUGAAAGUGUGAUCUUGCCAAGGCCAUUUCUGCACAUUUUGCAGGUGGCAUUUACCAGCAGUGAAUCAGAGUGUGCCCUAGGGUCUGGAGCUGAACACUGAAAGGUGUAAAACAAUUCAAGUUUUCACUGUCAUAUUAGGGUAAGCACUUGUGCUGAUCUGGGGACAGGAUUUUCUAAAGAGUCUAGGGAAGGUAAGUGCUACAAUUCUUUCUAAUUUCUGAGUUUCAGGUGCCUAAUUCCUCUAAAAUCUCUUAAAAAAGUGACUUUCAUGACUGAAAUCAUACAAUGAAUUAGAUGCCACUGAUUUCCAUUAAAUUCUGACUUCAGGUGUAGUAUUUGUAUAUAUAUACAUAUAAUUUAUAUGUAUAUAUGUGUAUAUCUAUAUACAGCUAUAAAACCCUUAUCUUUCCUCAGUGUUCUGUUCUCUCGAGUGGCAAUUUCAAUUGCCCGCCAAAGAUAAUACUUUGCUUUGAUAACUGCUAAUAAAAGUCUGUAUGCUUUAGUGAAUAUGAUUAAUAUGAAGUCAGAAUUGAUUAAAGAAAUGAAUGUAUUAUCAAGAGUGAAGAGUAAAAAAAUGAAUAUAUUAUCAAGAGUGAAGAGUAAAUAGAAAGUGGUGAGAGAACUGGAGUAUUGUAACACAUUUUUUUUCUAAAUAUUUCUACUAGAUAAAAGCCCAAAGGAGUUGGUCAUCCAAAUCAGCAGCAUACCACACUUUUGACUCCCUUUUUCAAGUGAUUUGAUGGAAACUGUAGGCUGAUUAAGGCUAUUCAUAACAAACUAAAGCAGGUCAUAAGACAUUUUGUACCAUAUUGUUUUAAGAUAGGAAGGGAAGGAGAAAUACUUAUUACUGAAAUUAUGAAAUAGCUUAUUAGAAACAAGUGCCACCCUAGAACCGGUUACCAUAAAAAUGCUUGGAUUGUGUGCUCCUUGUGGCAAGGAUUAUCUGUUGCAAUGUUAGGAAUCUGGGCUUGAUGACCACAAUUGUUCUUUUGAAAAACCGUGAAAUUUAAGAAGUAGUGUCACAUCUAUUCUUUCAUUUCUUUAUUCUCAGUGAUAAGGCUUUACAGGUAUCCUGCAGUAUGCAGCAAUCAGGGAAGCAUGUGUGAAACCAAAUGGGAAUACCGAUAAAUGCUUGUCAUAGGUGUCUGCCAAGGACACUCUCUGCAUGGAGUUCAGCUAAAAUGCUUUAUGUGGAGCAACUUGUUUUCUGUUUCUUCAUGCCAGUUCUACUCUGCGGAACUGACUGCUUGCACCUACUUAGCAGCAAACACAGAUGUAGUCAUUUGUGACUAGUGACUGUCUCAUCUUCCAUGCGAGAAUGAUGUUUUUCUAAUGUCUACUCAGUCUUAUGCUCACACUCCAAGCCAACUGGACACCAUAGUAAGCUCAGUGUUAACAUCAUUAGUAAGGGUGUUAAUACACCUUGCCUGUCAGCGCUGCCUUAACUGAUGCUACGCAGCUGUCGCGUCAUGUAAAUUGGCUUAGUAUGUGGGCAAAAUGAUUGUGUGUCAGCCUAUGCAGAUCAAUGCUUCUUAUCUUUGAAUCGUUGUCCUUACUACUACUGGGAGAAUUAUUUUACUCUUACAGUUUUCUCGAUCAUGAGUUUCCAAGUUUAUUUUCCGACAUGAAGAAAAAACAAAAACCAGCCAGGUGGAAUAAUGUAUUUCAACACAACUUAUGAAUUUGAUUACUUCAAGGAGAAGCAGGGGUUAAUUGCUCUGAAAUAUUAGGAUCAGUGGUAUGUUCCAGAUUUUCACAACGGUAAUCCAGGAAUGAUUUGGUUUCUUGCAUGAAUUACUACUCAGUUUAACAAAAGAGCCAUUCAAUAAAUAUCUGAUAGCUGUAACUAAUUGGUACUCAUCACUGAUGAUAACUUUUAGUAAACUAAUGUAAUUAAUGUAAAAUGUGUUUGACUUCUGAUGAAGCAUGAAAAAUUAGUAAAUCAAUUACAUUAAUAUUCAUUACUAAUCUGCUUCUUACAGUCUCUUCUUCAGAUAGUGGCAGCUAAUAUAUCAUCCCUUUUGUAUACUGGAACUGUUGGGAGUUGGUUUACCUUUAAUCUCAUUACAGGUACCUGGAUGACAUAGCAUUUUGUUUGUAAUAACUCUCUGUAGGUUGGAUCAUUAUUAUUUGUGUAAUUUCAGCUUAUCUCUAUGAUAAAAUUCCCAUAUUUUCCCAUGUUUUUCAUUCACAGUUAGAAGGCUGACCUUUUCUUUGUUCAGGAACUCACCAUUAAACUUUCUUUGGCACACCUAGUAACUGUCACUUCUGCUUUUCUGUUUGUUUUUUUUUUUUAAGCUGUUGCUCCAGAUUGCUGGUUCCCUGAAGCCAAAUAAGGGAGCCCCUGUAAUGACCCCAGUAGAUCUCGGGAUAAGUGUUCAUGUAUGAAACCUAUAAAUUUGCUAUAAAGGUGGACCAACUUCCUAACCUUAGGGACUUACAGAAGAUGUUUGCAUAGCAGAGAACUGCAACGUUCUUGUCAUGCGCUUGGAACAAGUGAAUCUAGAAGCUCUGGAAGUAACUCGUUUCCAGAAGAGGGUAGUGAUUUUUCAGAGAUCUCACUGCAUCACUGCACAAUAGAGCUCAGCUGGACAUGCAGCUGACUCCCAGGGGAAUCCGUGAUACCAGUUUCGUGAAAUUCUGCUGAUUGUACUUCUCCUGUAGCCAGGGGGUUGGACUACUUAGCAUUUUCUGUUCCUUAGCAUUCCCUGUCCCUACUUGGCAUUCCCUGUCAUAACUGGUUAUUUGAAGAAGCUCCAGUAAAGGACCUACUGUGAAAUGUUUGCUAGGCAUGUGUGGCUCAGAUGAUUGGCAAUCUAGGACGUAUAGCUUUUUUUGCCAAUGUAAUACCUGUAAGUAGUUUGAGAAUUAUUCUUAAAUCAGUAUUUGAUUAUGUGUUAGCAUCUUUCAUUUAAUCAAAGUUGUUUCACCGCAACCCAUCACAACAGGUUUGGUCCUUAUAAUUUCAGAGAAGCCAGAGUAACAUGUGCUUUCAAAGUAAUGCUCCCAUUAAUUCUUCUACUGCUGUCAAAAGAUGUCAUGUUCAACCUGAUUUUUAAGCAAUCUAAACAUACUCGUAUUCACUAACAUAUUCAGUUCUUCUGAGAAGGAUGCAGAUUAUGUUGUAAGACAUAGCAGUUUCUUUCACGACAGAUUCAGUUCACAGUGUGUAAAUUUGUUUAAGGAAAUUAAUUGGGCUGGUUUGGACUUUCUAACUUCAAGACAGCAAAAAGUUUACAAGUUUUGCAACCAUCCGAAUGGACUUUGUUCUUAAGUCUAGCAGCUAGUAGGUUUUUAGUUCUGGGUCAAAUAAAUCCAUGAACUGAUGUAAAGCUUGACACUGAAACUUGUAUGCUUCCAAGAGACAUGAUGAGUUCAUCCAAUAGCUCACCGCUACCGAAACUCUCCUCUCUGUCCCCAUUCCUGAUCAUAUGAUUCUUCCUUCUCAUUUGCACAAGCUGUGGCACUAGCUAAAUCUUUUUCUGAGCCAAUUCUACUCCUUAGGAUUAUCUGCUUCCUCUUUUCCCUAUGCAGAAGUGGUCAGAGAGGACUACAAGCGUAUGCCUGCACUGUUGUGACAGAUUUUAGAAAGAAUUUCUGAGAUUUGGAAGACUGGUGCAGAGUGGAGUGUUACUUGGUUUCAUAUUCCUCACUCCCAGAGUAGUUCUGCACCUCAUGCAAUUAAGCAUGGUUUUUUUUCUUGUUACACAUUCCAAAAACCUCUGCUUUGCUAAAUGAUCCAUUAAAUUUAAUAGGAGAGCAGUACUGCUUACCAGCUGGUGACUGAUUUGCCUAUGUAAAAUGAGCUCCUAGUAAAUAUUCCAAAGGACAGAAAAAAAAACCCUAAUUGAUAAAAGUCUUCUUGAUAGGCAUAGAACUGAAGAUCCCAGAGGGGAAGGAAUUGCAUUUAUUGUUUACGCAUUUCUAUUAAUGUCAGUGACUGCUUCAUUAAUGUAUUUUCAAAGUAAGUAUGGAGAAAAAAAAUAAUCUGUUUUUUAAAUUCAGAUCAAUCCAUUAUGGUGAACUUUAAAGGAACAGCUGAGCCAGUCUAGUAACUGCAACUUCUGGAAAGGGGGUGUCCUUGCUCUGCUUCCAGCUACACAGUUCCACCCGCUCCUUUGUACCAGCUUUAUUGUUUUGCUGGACCUUUCUGUGAUUGAUUCGACUUAGUAAUGUAGCCCAAGGCUGCCUACCCACCUAGAGCCGGGGUAACCGAGCUACCAUUGAGUGUGCAGCAGGAGCAAGGCAGCCAUUCACCAGCGGUAAGCCUUUAGAUCUCCUGAGUGUGUCUUAUGUGAGUUCAGUCGAGGCUGUUGUUUUUUUCUAGACCACUGUGGCUGUGCAAAGGCAGGUGACAAGAUCGUUUUAGCACAGUACCGUAGCCACGUAAAUCUUUGUCCUGGAUUCAGUUGCUUGGGACAAGGACUGCGUUCUCAGUACACUAUUUUGCAAAAAAAUAGGUGGAGUAGCAUGUGGAUAUGUGUGGUCCUGUCACAUUUCCCGUGUCAUGAUGCGAAAAGUCUAUUUUUGACUCACAGUUCUUCACUAGGGUCCCUGUUGAGUGAUGUUCUGGGACAAAAUGCAGCCUUAAUGUUAUAAUUCCAUGGGUGACUCCUAGCUUUACCAGCAUAGUAAAUAAUUAUUAAUGUUAGAAGAUAAGGAAGGAGAACCCAUAAUGUGAUUUGGAUAGAUCUGGGAAUAGGGUAUAUUGAAUAAUUCUCAUUUACUUUUACAUUUCUAAUAGAAUGCAAAAUUUAAUACUGUAUAACGCGGACAGAUUCUGUAGCAUGUUUCUAAUUUAUCACUCUCUAAAAUGUUAUGGCAUUAAAAUUAUUAUGAACAAUAAUAGGUUAUUAAUUUAUCUUUCCCACUUAAUUUAUGUCAAAAUGUUUAUGCAUAAGAGGAAAUAGUUUAAUCGUAACUACUUGCAGAUAAGAUACUGUAAUGAGAUACACUGAUAGGUGUAAGUAAACCCCUCCCACUCUGAUACAUUAACAUAUAAAAAAAGACAUUUCUCUUUCCUCAAAGGAGGUAAAAACAGAGGUAAGAAAAAGAGGAUAACUCUGGGUUAGAAUUCUUACUUCCAGCACUGCAUCAGGAAACAAAAGCUUGGGGCUACAGCGUCAAGGAAUUUAGAGGAAAAGAACAAGUAGAGUUCAGCCAAAGAAACAGUCCAUAGCUCUAAAUGUUGUCAGAACUAUUUUUUAAAAGCAGAAUGUUUGGGUUGUUUUUUAAAAAAGGGGAUCCAGAUAACUGGAAGUAAAGUUUAGUCAUAUUGAGCAAAGGCUUUUUAUUGGGCAGAACAGGGGUAACUGGGAAAAAAAGUCCAAAAUGAAGGCAAAGACGUCUGUAGCAGAAUUGUUGACAGCAAAGGCAAGGAAGUUUAAGCUCUGUCAUCUGUGCUGUUGGCCUUACCUUUGUGUGGUCUGGGGAACUAGCUGGAAGUGUCUUCCCUUCAGCACUUCAGUUACGGUGUUUGAAGCAUUCCAAGACAAGGUUAAACUUCCAGACGGAUGAAACAGAAGUAACGGAAGUGAUAUUAAACCCGGAUUAAACAUACUAGCUCUCAGUCGAUACGACGUUCGCGUACCCUGUCUCAUUUCUUUCUGGAUCCUAGUGGCUCUUGGAUCUCAUCUGGCUAAGUCAGCUCUUAGGUGCUUGCUUUAUUAUUUCAAGUACACAUUCUUAUGACAUUGAAAGAUUAUUUGUAGGAUGCGUGAAACAUCGUUUGAGUCAGUUGUUGCAUAUUUAGCAUGAUACCAAUUUACAAGUUUUAGAAUAAGCUGUCUUCUCAAGAACGUAUUGUAUUUCUGCAUGUGUAGUAAACUGAAUUGGCUCUCCACGGAGUCAGAUGAGCCCCAGUGCUGACAACAGGUAGUACCUCAAUGUGUGUGUGACUGUGUGGGAGGAGAAUGAGGAAUUAGACCUAUGUAUUUCACCCAGAUAAACGAAAGCCUAAGAUUAAACUGGAAAGGGUCUCUUUCUGUUUCAUCCAAUAGUUGUCAGGGGUUUCUGCCUUGGCGCUUGCCCGACAGCUCAUUUUCCUCACGUUAACGUGUGGGGCCUUAGCCAAGGGAUGCCCUGAAUCCGAGUGCAGCAUGUUAACCCUUAUACUCGAUUUCUUCUUGAAAAUAGUCCUGGAAUUCAAGAUUUAAUCUUCUCCUGAAAUGAAAACUUACUUUCCUCCUUUUUCAGACCAUUACUGUCUAAUCAAAAUGAGCAAGUGUCUUUUUGCUAGUCCCGGUGUUCUCUCUUGUACUUGACUGGCCAGUGAACAGCUCCAUUUCUCUCUGUGACUGGUUGUACGUGUUUUGUGGUGAAGUGUGCUCCAUGCUGGGUUUUGUAUUCUGUUACCAUGCCUGUAUAGAAACAAACCCAAUGGAAACAUCUACAUGUGACAGGUCUGCGUAAUCUGCUACUGUUUCUUGCCUACAUGUAAUAAUGAUGAACCUCUUUGGAGUGAUAAUGUGGUGUGAUUUGUUCCUGAACUUCUCCAAAGCAUAAUGUAGUAAAAGGGAAGUAACCAACUGUUUGCCAUACAAAAAUGAGCUUCAUGUGGGCUGUUCUGACUUAUUUCUUCAAAUACUAUUCUGAGAUACAAGCUUUCCUGGGGAAUUUUCAUCUGGAGUGCGGCAAGUGGUUUGCUGAUGCACAGCAGCCAGCAAAAUUAACCUGAUGAGCUGACUGUGUUGAAUGACAUACCAGUUCAGAGAUAGAAAAUUGUGCCUUUUUAAUGUUAAGGAUGUUGCACUUCAUUACAGACUAAUGAGACAAUGAAAUUGUUGUUAUUACAGCAUCAGAAAAUGAAACUGAAUUGAAAAUUGAUCCUAAACUUGCUGUUGAAAUAAAGUAUUUUUUCAUUUUUCAUUUUUAUUUUUUAAAAUUGAGUGUGUGAGUCUGCAAGAUAGUGAGGAAUUUGUUCUGAUCACUGUUAAAAUCUCAGUUUUCUGAGAAUUAGAAUCACCAGAUGAAGUUUACUGUAUCUCAUUUGAAUUAAUCCAGUUUUGUUCAGCAGCAAACAGAUUUUUCAUUAAUAUCACAGUUUUUCUCUAAGAACCAACGGAAAUACAUUAUUUUUUAUUAUAAUUUUACAGAAGGGUAAGCAAUUAGAGCUUUUCUUGUUUUCAACAGCUAUCUAGAUAAAAACUACUUAAAUUAUUGACACAGUAUAAUGAAAUACAAAUAUACCCCUUUGCUAUCUAUAGUUUUUGGCAUUCCCUCAUCAGUCAUUUAAUACCACGCUUCAAUGACUGUCAUCAUUACUGUCUUUUUCUGUCCUUGACCUUUUAUUGAGUUGAUUGACUUUAAUUGAUUAGCAAGAACUAAAUGUUCUACAAAUGUUCGGUUUUGUAGAUGAAGCAGAUGAGUUCUUUUGGAAUACCAGCCUGUUCCGAAAAGCCAGCUGCUGAACUUCAGCAUCUUCUCCAGUUGAUGCUCAUGGUGAUCCAUCCUCCAUGUCACAGGCACAUGAUGCAUUGCUCAGCUUGGAGAAAAGACAAUCUUCAGGUUUUUGAAUCAAUUAGGUAUGGUGGGAACGGUUGCCCCCAUGAUAACACUGUCUACAUUCAGAGAAGGAUCCGUUCAGUUCUCUCUAGAAGAAAGUCCCUGAAAUAGUGGGUGGCUGCAAGAUGCUCUGUGAAGGUGAAGCUGCGAAAUACUGGUCACACGCUGCUGUCCCUUCCUCUGUGCGGGUCUGGUGCUUGUCAGACUCUCCUGUGAGAUGUUUUAACUCACUAGCAAGGCCGAAAACUGACAUUUUUUGGUUUCUGUUAUUUUACUCCAUUAAAGACCCUCAUGGAAAGGUCCAAAAUCCACCACGGACAGCAGAAGACAUGAGACAUGCUGGGGACAGGAAGGUGAGGGGCAGAAGGGAGCAGAAGCUCACUUUUGGGGAGCAGUGCACAUCACUUUACCUUAUCUUAUACUGAGGCAUCUCAAAAUUGGAUCUUCAAAUCUAAACUCUCUUUGUAGUCUGUGAAGACAGACGUCUCCACACCAUGAUUCAUCUUGUAAGACAGAUACCUACGACAAGUUGUAGGAAUAACCUUUUUAAUGACUUUCUCUCCAUGGUUUACAAGGGGAUCUUGUAGGUGAAUAGAGUAUUCACGUUAUCUCUAAAAUUAAGAGAGAUUAAGUGUUAUUUUCCUGCCUUUCAACAAGUCUUAGAGUAGGAUUUGAGAUAACAUUUUCUUUCACAAUGUAUUUUUGGGGAGGCUAAAAGCGCACACGUGUUCAGUUACCCCAGUUUAGCUGGUGAGUGGUCGGUCGGUGGCUGUGAGCGACCAGCAGCGUGAGGUCACUAGUCCAUACCCUCAGUCUCUGCUGAUGCCGUAGUCCACAUUGGCAGGGAGAACAAUUUCUGAGGUUGACUGCUGUGAAUUUCUUGUUUAUUAUUGUUGCCCUAGGAACAAGUUUCAAUGGGAAUAGCGUAUGACAAAUCAGAACUGUAUUAUGUUAAAAGACAUCUGCAACAGUUGCUGUUGUUGUAAAGAGCUGUCGCGGAUCAGGUGGAAGAGCAGAGAUGAUGGGCAAGUGCAGGAGCACUCAGCACAGCUGUGUGGUGCAGGGUAUGGGCAUGACAUUGAUUACAAUUACUUCGUAUCUUAGAAGCAAACUUUAACAACGGUUCUGAAACGGAGCUGAACAAAAUUUGGUUUGUUUAUACUUCCUUACCUGUAAUCUGUCUAUAUCUAAGGCUUUCUGUUCAUCCAUGUUGCCUCUUCUGUCCUGGAGUCCUGGUAGAGAGGCGGUUAUUGUGCUGUUUAAACACUGAUCUGAAGACUUGUACAUGGUCAUGGCCUAAUUCAUAAGGAGUUCACAGACCAGAGCUCUUCGUGCUUCGUCUGCCAUAUAUGCUAUUGGCUGGGGUCAUACACUGAGAAGCUUGGAGUGGAGACUUUUUUUCACCAGAAGGAUCUGCAUUACUUUAACUGAUCUGCAGUUAUAUAGACAACCACCAUGAUGCAGAUGAAGGAAUACAUGGGAUGAAUUCUGGUUUUACUAAAUACCUCAUAAGUAGAUUCUAGAUGAGAAUUACCAUGGUCUGCUAUUUCUAUCACAAGUUUUACGGUAUCUUGCUAACUAGGCUACGGCAGUCUCAGUAACACAGACACGAGAAUGUCAGACGCAUUGGCUCUCAUAAGCCCUGAUACAGACACAGAGAACUAGAAGACCCUGAAAAACACCAAAGAAUCAGCCUGAACCACAAGCAGAGGACAAAACCCCUGCAUGGGGUGAAAUCCAGUAAAUAGAAAUUGAUACAGUGGAAUGUAACUUCAGCAUAGGUGGGUAGGGAUGUUUAAAUAACUUAAUGACACUAACAUUUUUCCAGCCUUUCUUUGUUUCAUGGGUUAAGUGCCUUUCCUACCACCUUGCCUGCACCCUGACCGCUGUUCAGCUGUUCUGCACACCACCUGGAACCGCUUCCCUAUUUCUGUGAUCCUGAUUCAGAAGUGAUUCUCUGCUUUGUAUAUGUUGGCAACAACUACCUGUGUUCGUCACAAUUUCCUCCAGACUGCCUGACUUCACUUCCAAAAAGAAAUAGGGUUAUGAAACCAAGAUGGUAAUAAGACCAACAGAAGAGAAACUUUGCUAAUGACAGAGGACCUUCAAGGUUGAACGAAGUUGCAACAUAAGUGUGGGUGGUCCGGCCCGCUGGGCAGUGGGAGUGCGUGCAACAAGCUUUAUACAACUGUACGAAGUCAGACAUGAAAAAAUGAAUGGAAUCUAGUGCCAGUGGUCACAGACAUAUCACACAGUGUCCUGCUCCAUCCACUGCUGAUAAACAUGACAGAGGCAAGGUGGGUUACUGGUGAGCAACAGUCAUUUCCAUGCGGAGACUGCAAUUGUAAAGAAGACAAACUCUGUUUUUGGACAAGUCAGACAGCUUUGACUCUCAGACAGUGAUCAGCUUCCCCACUCUCACACAGUCAUCAUCCACAGCCCCAGCAAACAUGGAUCACUCCUACUGUUUCGGGCACAGUGCUGAAGGUUUGCUUCUCUGAGCUGGAGAGAGAGAGAGAGGAGGUAGAAAGGUUGUGCCAGCCUCGCCUCAAACUGGGUGCCUUCUUAAAAUAGGCCUAUGGAAUGCAAAAGUGCUCCUAAGCAAGACACAGUAAGCUGCCCAAGAUGCCAAAAUGAUUUGCUGUGACCCUGCUCCACUAGAAGUCAGUCAGUGCAGCUUGCCAAUCUGGAUGAAUAUUGCACUGUCAGUGACAUAUUUCCAGUGAACGCUGUAUCUUUCAACUUGUUGCAGGACUGAAAACAUGACAUGCCUUUGGCUUCUAGGCUAGUCUGUUCACACAAAUUCUAUACAACUGGGUAUGUCUGACCUUCCCGACACUGAUAUUGUCAAGUUUCUGGAAUGCAAAGAGAACAUAAACUUCAGUAGGCACUGAGAAGUUACCUGCUGCUGCAAUGGAUUGACCUUUCCCAGCCUUUGUAAGUGUUUAUCACAUGUGCAUGGACAUCUGGAUUUCCUGGCAGGAAUAUUUAGAAUACAUGCAAACUUUGCUGGAGUGCACUGCUUAUCCUGGAGCUGAUAGUGUUUCUCUAGGUGUGUAAAUCCGUGCAUUUUGUGUAAAUCACUUAGCUGCUGAGAUAAGCAAGUAGGUUACUACUCCCAAGCAGGAGUAGUUGGCUCCUCGGAGCCAGCUAGCUCCUGUUCCUAGUUACAGCCUCUAAAAUCUGUUUACAGGGCUGUUUGUGUGACACUCCCUAGUCUUUUUUGGUCACAAUGAGCCGACUGAGCAACAUCUUAUCAUUCAUACUUUCUAUUCUGAUCCCAUCUGAGCUUGUUUUACUAUGAGCUUUACAUGCAAUAUGGAGCAUGUGAACAAACAUACUGCUCCAGGGAAGACAGAGUUCCUUAUAUUCCAAAGAUUGGCCGUAUGAUAAACAUUACUUAGUUUGAAUCUGAAUGAAAAAUCCUGCCUUAAUGCAGGAAUGCUAUAAAUGCAAAAAUGCCAUAAAAGCAUUUCCUUAUAUAGUAAUUUGAAGAAUUCAUUCUGGUUCUUUUUCUUUGCCCUUAAAAAAAAAAUCACUCUAUGGCAGCUCUGAGUCAUUUCAUGUUAUAAAAAGAUGGGUUAUUUAUGUCAUUCUGUGUAUCCAACUAGCCCCAAGAUGUGGAAACUUAAUGAACAGGCUCAAGCAGCAAAAAUCUUUACAAAGUUUUUCAGAGUUUUCCUCUAAUGUUUUUUCACAUGAGGAAAGGACACACACAUAACAGAGUGCUAUGGGGCAUAACCAACACAUAAUUAUGGUCUGUGAGCAAUUGGAAGGCAGUCAAGGAUACCGUGCUGAGUCUACAUUCCCAAUGUUGUCUCCUGCUCCCUGCUAUAGCAUUUUUAAGCAGAUGGAGGCUGAAGUUUCAAUCAGUAUUGAACACCAUAGAUGUGUAAAUUGUGUCAUUUACGGUCCACUGCCCGCAUACUGCCACAUAGUUCUUUAAAAAUACGGUCAGGCACAUUCAGGCCAGUGUGAAAAGUAGUUAAGAUGGUGGUGUUCCUCCUUUGUUGUCAACAACUCUGGAGGUGCUUGUGGUUGGGACAGGAAACCGAUAAUUUCUGUGCCAGAGCAGCCGUCUUGUUUCUAUAGUCAUUGCAAAUGGAACUGGAGCCUAUGUAAUCCCAAUUUUUCUGGAGCACAGAGAAUUCACUUGAGAGAGUUCAUAGAUCAACAUUGGCUUCCAGGACUGUGCCGUUCAGUUUAAAUGCAGAUUCAGCAGACCUUAAAACAAGUGAAAACAGCUUGGCUGACAACAGUUGCAGACUUAGUGAAAUGACAGGUGGGAUGAAGGAACUCUUGCCUCAGUAAAACAAGGUAUUUCACUAAUCAGCUACUAUAACUGUGAGGGCAUGGUCUUUUGUCAGCAAAGAAACAACCAAGACAGCUUUUGGGUAAAUGCUGACUCCUGAAAAGGAUAGAUUGGACAGGUAUGAAGACAAGUCACUGACUUGCAUCCUUUCAGGAGUAAGGAAAGUUCCUGCUUUUUUUUUUUUUUCCCCAAUAGAACAAAAGGUUAUUUUAUUUAAAAGAAAAAAAUGUUGAAAUAGUUGAGUAAUUCACUUAGUUUGUGAAACCAAAAAGCAGCCAAAGACUUCUGCUUGAUCAAUAAACUAGUGCUUUUCUUCAAUUCUAAGUCUGACAUAUUCAUAACGGUGCAACACAGAUUAGAAGUACAUUAGAGUUUAAAGAUUUAGUCUCUCUACAUCUCUGUGAAUGUUAAAUGUAAGAUUUUUAAUUUUGUUUAAUUAUAAGCAAGAUCAUAAUUCAAAAACUAUACAAGACUGACCAAACCUGGUAUCAGGGUGUUUUGAUGAGAACUUUUGAGCUUUUGACCUUUAUUUUUUCAUUCUUCAACAAGAGGCAAAGCCUUUUGAGUGUUUCUCUGCAUAAAAUGUCUGCACUUGAAUCAGAACUCCUUGUUUUGGUACUCUCUGAGCAGAAGAGAUCCAGCAGCCCAGACAUCUCUCUCAGUAGAAACUUGGGAUCCUAACAGAAACAUUUCACCCACAAUGGGACUUGAUGAAUGACAGCACUGGAAGUUUGUCAGUCAGCUGCAACUGGUAUUGCAACUGAGAUUUGGGGAGAGGGGAACUGGUAAAUUUGGUAUAAACCAUCUUUGCUAAAUAAGGUUCUUCCCUACUCUGCCAUCUUCUCACAAAAGCAUGUAUUUCAGGAAGUUCUCAUUCCCAUAUAUUAAAGCCCUCCUAAAAUAUAAAAAUCAGGUCCAUUUUAACUUGUGUGUUUACCUUAAAAAAUAAUGCAUUUUAAAACUUUCUCAUUAACUACAUUUCAUCAUUGCCAAGUCUGUGCAGACUAGCUCCUGCUGAUCUACAAUCUUUUCUGAGGGUUUCAGUGCAAGCUGUAUGAAUUGUUACAGGCUACAGUCUUGAGUAUCUGUUGAUUAAAAUAUUAAAAUGGAUAUGUUCUUAAAUUCUAGUAUCAGAAAUGUAAUUUGCUGAUGUCUAGUAAGACAAUUGGUAACACGUUCAGUGUUUCAGACAGUAAAACCAAGACUGUCCCUGCUGCAGAGUUUAAUACUUACAAAAAACCCCCCCAUAUAUAUCAGUAACAGGAAACUACUGUUGUGCAAACACUGUUAUAUCCUCUGCAGUAAUUAAGAGGUCGGAAAUACUUAUGAUUUUACUCACAUGUGCACAGGCAGACACAGACACAUCCACUUGUAUGAGAGUUUAAACGUCCCUAGAAUUCUUGCAUUUUUGGCUCAAUUUGAUUCAGUUGCAAGCUUUGAAUACCCCACCUAACUUGCGGGAAAUCCUUUCUCUGUGUUUACAGACCAUUUUUUUAGUGUUUACUUCAUGCAAACUGAGAACAAUAGUGGCUUUUUUUUUAAUGCUUUUUAUCUUUUGGAAUUGUUAGAGGUCCCACAGUUCUGCUGUCACUAGGUCACUUCGCAGAUAGUUUAGCUUUUCCCAGUUGCAUGUCCUGGAAUGGAGUAACUCUGCUUUGAUACUUAAAGUCAGGCUUCAAAGGCAUCUAGUUUUUAAAGCUGGCUGAAGCGUCGCGUCUUUUUAGAAAAGGUAAAACCAAUUUCCUCUUUUAGACACAGCUCUUUCAGCUGGUACAACUUUACCAGAACACCGUAGCUAGCUUUCCCAAGGUGCACAGUAAUGGCAGAGGGAUGUGGUUUCGGUCCUCGCGUCUGGUCACACGGCAUCCUGUCCCGUGUCCUGUAUCCUGUCCCGUGGAUGACGGGGACGUGCCUCCGCGCUGGGGGCACAGAACGGCGGGAGCGGAGGCACACCCCCGCUACAGCCACCCCCCCACAGGGCCCGUGGCUUCCGAAGCGAUGGCUGGUGUGACAGGGAGCAGGGCUGGUCCCGUCUCAGCUCGGGGUUUGAGGGAGUCAGCAAGUUUAGGCGAUCCAGUUUAUCUCGUUGUAUCUUGGAUUUGCAAAUGAUUAAGAGCUCUUUCCAGAGCACGUUAAAAAAUUCCACAUAAGAUCUAAGUAAGGGUGUUGUUUGGCUUCUCAUGUUUGUAAAAACCCGGGGUCUAAGUAUCCUCAUCUGAUCUGGCCAUCACAGACGCUCUUUAUCCCAGGGACUUUGUAGUUUAUGUUGAAUGAAAUAUAGGCAUACGUAGACACAGAAACAUAUCACUUGGACACCUAGAUUGUUUAUAGAUCACUUUUUUUUUUUCAUUUUGAUUUUUAAUUGGAUUAUAAAUGCCAGUGUAUUGUAAUGUGAAUUUGGCUAGAAGCUGAUGAUGUGAUGUGUACAGAUGGUGAAUGGGGAAAUGUUUCUAUUCCGAAGAGCUUAACGUUGAUAAAAGAACAUUUACAAGUCAUGCCAUACAUAUAACCUUGCAAGAAAGAAUUUGUUCAAAUUUUUUACAGUUAUUUAUUGCGAGUAGUCAUAUGUAUUGUGCUAGAACCCAGCUCAUGAAACAGAACUUUGCAUUCUUUUUCAUUCAGGUGUUGAUGAGCAGUACUAUGCCAUUUGUCUAGGAAAAUGAAAGGUGAUCUUAAAGACUUUCUAAACCAUUAGUUCUUCACUAGAAGGUAACUCAUGUAUUUUCUAGCAAAAUCUAAAGAAAUAGCUGGACAGCUAAUGUGUUAGGGUGACCCAUGUCUUUCGCUUGUAGUUCAGUUUAAUUACGAGAGAGAAGCUUCCUUCUAAGAGAUAUGUUAUUUAAAAUAUAAUACAAUAUAAUGAACAUAAUAUACAUUAUUUUUACUGCAUAAAAAAAAACCUUAGUAAAUGCUGCUAGUGGCUUUUUAAACCUGAUGUGCUACCUACUUGAGUUAUGUCUUUGCUUGGGUGGUAGUGGCUGGGGAACCUUUUUCCUUUGUUGAAGCUUUUCCCUUUAGACAUGAUAUUAUGGGGGUUCAAGUGUCUUAACUGAUUUUGAAUCUGGUCUAUUAUUUCUGCCAGGUUAUUUUUCCUUGUUUGUAGCAUUUUGUAAGUGUGCUCGGUAGACCCAAAAUCUAGGUCUUGUGUGGUUUUGCACAGACGUACUCUGCUGGUGUUUCUGUUGUCUAUUCAAUUCUUCAUUACCAAGUCUGCGGCAAUGCCAAACAGUAGUGAAGAGAUGUAUCCGGUAUCAACCUAGUGAUUCCACAUGGAAAUGUUCUGUUAUCUGGUGGUUAAAACCCUACAGGUCACUUUACACAUCUGAACGUGAUGAUAUUGAUGGCCAAACUGGAAUUCCAUAGAGCUGAAAGUCCACGCUGUAUGUCUCUGCAGGAUAAUGCCUUCUGAAAAGAAACAAAAUAGGUGUUGGGGUUAGCUGAUUGUUCUGUGCAUACAUCUUUGAAUGUUCUUAGGGGGAAUACCUGCUAAUAUACAGUAUGUUUAAUAUGCAGUAAAAAGAAUAACAGUGUCUCUGUUUUCAACUUCCUGUGAGCUUUGCAUGCUGCGCAUGACGCUGUUGCAUCGUGCAGCAGAAGGCUCUUUGUGCAACAGGGAUUAUCAAGAUUUCUCUCCAGUCGCACUUAGUGAAAUAUCCUUUGCUAGAUGUUCUGUCAAAGGUUCCAGGUUUCUUUCAGUGAGCAGUGGCCCCUUUUUCAGGUUUUACUCAACAGUUCUGAUGGUAGGGAGGCUGUUUUAAAAUCACUGUUCUGACUUGAGUUUAUCCUUUUGCUUCUCUGUUUAUCAGUUUCUUGAUUAUAGUCUGUAUUUCUCAUAUUUCCAUUGGACUGAUGGUUCAUGUAUUUCACCAAAAUCAAGUAAUGUGCUGAGUUAGUGGACUGUGAGAAUUCCUUUGAAAUGCUGUGCCCAUCCACUUAUCUGCUUUAUCUCAAUUAUGCGUAAAUUGGUGCUGACUGAAUAAUGGGAUGUUCCCAACACAUAUGUGCAACCUGACCUCUCUCACAUCUAAUGAGUCCCUGACUCCUUCAAGACUAUUUUAAGUGUUUGGGUUACACUGCUUCAAACAGCAAGCGGAAAUGAACUUGCAACAUGAUGCUUUCCAUGGCAUGCUUAAUAAACGGCUCAUAACUUCAGAUAGGCUCACCCAGGUAAUGGUGCAAUACAAUGGAAUCUUACUUGGACUGUAAAGCGUAUCCUUCUGUCCAAAGCCUGAAACUUUGGAUGCAUCUCCAUCACAGAGUGCAGCUUUACAAAGCAAAGCUGGAGCUGGUUCCGAUUAAGCUGGUAUGUCUACAGAGGGCAGCUCAGUGCUGUACAGAGAUACCAGCUUUGAUUCCCAAAGCAAUAUAAUUACAUCAGCGUGGACUCUGCUCUCAAUAACAUAUCUUGCUUCCCAGUAAGAAUAAUUACACAGCGACAGAGCUCUGCACUGAGGUAACCACAAUGCUGACCUCUUAGCUAGUUAGUUUUGAAUUUGCAUAAGUAUCUUGAUAAGUCUGUGCCCUGUGCUGCAUAGAGUUAUUCUGUACUGCAAUGCUGGUAUGUUGUGUCAUCUUGUUUUGUUGAGCGAGCGUAGCAGAGGGAUAUGGGAUAAAAGGGUAAAACUUUCCUUACUAAUCCAAGUCUGCUUGUAAUUUCAGACUUGAAUUCCAGUGUUUCCUGGAAUGCAUCUGAAAAGAAACACACUGCUUCAUUUCGCUGCUGAUAAAUUAGUAAUUAUUCUUUUUCCCUACAAACAACAUUGAGUCAGCUAUCACAACCUGGAAAGGGCAGAGCCCACUUUAAUUUUAUUAAGGGUGCAACCUCCUAUCUCCUCAGUGUUCAGCACAGGUCUGUUCUCUGCUCUUUGCCCUGAAAACAGUACGGUAGUUGUGCUAUACUCAGACUAUAUAUAGCACUUAAGAGAUAUCAAGGGUUGACCUUGACCUCAAGCCCUUACAGAUACUUAAGCUUUAAGGAGUCACCUGAUGGAAGGGAACAGAGGCGGUUUAGCCCAUUUGCUUCUUUCUGAAAAUUUUAUUAUCAGUGCUUGAGGAGACACACUGAAUAUCUUUCUAACUGUCGUAUUUUCUAUGCGUUUAUUUAAAAAGCCAAUGAAGACAAUGGGUGCUUUGAUGGUUAUGUUUAACUGUGUUUCUCUGUAUUGAAUGUUUAUUUUGAUGGUGAUUCCCCAUUAACAAUAAAACCUCUUUCCCUCUCAUUUUCUGUACCUAAGCUCUUUAUAAUGAGCGUAAAAACCAGCAAGUUUUUCCCAUUUUUUAGGAAAAAAUUACCAAUACAGUCCUGGAUUACCUGAAGUACAUUGCAAAAUAAACUGCCUAGGAUUGACUUGCAUGCUAUGGGCAUUUGUUGUAAAAGCAAGCUAAGCAAAGUUUAUGCUAUUCCAAGUCUACACAAGAUUUUUUUAAUGCAAAAAUUAUCUCACCAUGAUGUGUGAUAGUAAAAUCAAUAACAACACAGUGCCUUACUCUAGUAAUAAGCUUUCCUACAAUAAUAAGUUCAGUAAUAAUAAGCUUUCAUGGAGAGUGUGUGUGUGUGGAAAUUGGUGUCACAUUGCAGCUGAGACCUGUCUGCCUGCUCUCAGUUGUGUAGUUCCCUCUCCCCAGCUUUUGGCAAUACUCCUUUGAUCACAUGGUAAGCUGACUCAAUUCACUAACCGAGCAAAAGUACGUGUGUGUUUACCUUGAAUAAGCUCAGAGUGCAAGCAGAGAAGUGCCAGAAUUAACAGAAGGUGAAAACAGUGUUUGAUUAGAAAAGGAAGAUGGAGGAAAGAGGAAGUGGGAUCUCUCCUUUUGAGUGAUGAAAAAUGAUUAAUUUGGCUCACUGUAAUAUAAAACCAUAUUUAGUUACACAAGUAGACUGCAAGUACAGUGACUGUUCUGCAGAGACAAGGAUUAUAUCAAU